This 1599-nucleotide ribosomal RNA is filed under the name Niphargus kenki. RNAcentral's name for it is "eukaryotic LSU rRNA". The stretch from base 1164 to 1599 matches the Rfam family "Eukaryotic large subunit ribosomal RNA", at positions 1 to 385 of the family's 3401-position model. The record is from RNAcentral. Lineage: Eukaryota; Metazoa; Arthropoda; Malacostraca; Amphipoda; Niphargidae.
AGUAAAAGUCGUAACAAGGUUUCCGUAGGUGAACCUGCGGAAGGAUCAUUAACGAUUGCUACACAUGCUAAGACGAACCGGAUGUUUCUGAUUUUUGACUGGCUUAAACUCCUGACCAGAUCAGGAAGGAUGAUGCCUCUCUCUCGCGCGAGCGAUCAGGUGGCCAUCGUGGUCGUUGUGCGUUUUCGCUGCGAACGAUGUAAAACAAACAACCGAUGGCCUCUCAUACAGUAUAAUAUCUCUCGCCAUGGUAUACAGGCCUGGCAUCUGGUACGAGUCUCUCGCAGUCUCAAAACCAACCUUACAACUCUGAGCGGUGGAUCACUUGGCUUGUGGAUGCUAUGAAGACCAUAGCUAAGUGUGAGAAUGGCAGCGAGCCGUCGCUAUAUGCGCUGUCCUCUUCUUAUCACAUGUCGAAUGCACAUUGCGCCCCACCCAGCGGUCGGCUAAACAACCUGCAGACAAAAGCCUGUGAGUUGGAACAAAGGCAAGUGUGUGGCCCUCGAGCAACGGCGGGGGAGCCAGGAGCACAUGAGCGUGCGGACCAACUACUCGUGAGUAGUCAGGCUUGACCCUAUGGUGGGGCACUCCUAGUCGAGUGUGGUGGAUCGGACUCACAUCUCUUAUUGCGCUUUUGCGCGAUGGAGUUUGAGUUUCUUUGUUGCUGGUGGCAUUUGGGUCGACAUCAGUCGUGCCCGUAAACAACUGCCUUGGCUCGUGCCUCUGUGCGUCGUAUUACCUCUUGGGGGGUGCGUACAUUGAAGGCCAUAGCUGGCGAUCACUCUUGCGGCCAGGGCACUACCUUUGCCUGGUUAAUGGCUACGGUAGGGCGCACAGGUCCAAAAGGAUAUGGUAAUACGAGAGUCGGGUCUCUGGUACUCUGACCCGCCUUCGCACGGUGUGCGGAGUGGCGAAUCGAUAUCCCUGCGUAUACGCUUCUCUGGUAAAGGUUUGUCUCUCGUAGUAUUCGAGAAUGACACAAACCUCAUUCUUUCGUUCACACACAUGCUGGCAGACGAAGAAACUCUUGACGAGAUCAGGACGGAUUUUCUAACAGUGUGAACAAAGUACCAGAUUGGCCUGCAGUAUCGCUCCACUCCAGAAGCAGCCGCUUGCAGGCGUCGGUAUGAGAGAGACCUGGCUGCUUGUAUUUGUAAUGGCCACCACCUCGACUUAGGAGAGGUUACCCGCUGAACUUAAGCAUAUCAGUAAGCGGAGGAAAAGAAACCAAUCAGGGAUUCCCUUAGUAGGGGCGACCGAACAGGGAUGAGCCCAGCGCAGAACCUCCCGGGCCACCCGGCCUGCGGCGGAAUGUUGCGUUAAGGGAAAGGUCGUAGUCAAACCCCACAGCCACGCGAGCUCUAAGUAAGUCACGAAUUGGCUAUCCCAACUAACGGCGGGAAAAUCUCCACGGAGGGUGUAAGACCCGUGUGGGCGCGUGCAAAUGCUGUGUGGGCUCGGCCUCUUUUCCCUGAGAGUCGCGUUGCUUGAGCAUGCAGCGCUAAGCAGGUCGUAAACUCGAUCUAAGGCUAAAUAUGUCCACAAGACCGAUAGCGAACAAGUACCGUGAGGGAAAGUUGAAAAGCACUCUGAAGAGAG